GGGCGAAUGGUCUAGAGGUAUGAUAUUCGCUUUGCAUUACUGGUCCACCAGUAGUAAAAACACAUGCUUGCGAAGGGUCCGGGGUUCAAUUCCCCGUUCGUCCA
Molecule: non-coding RNA, 104 nt
Organism: Xylariaceae sp. FL0594
Lineage: Eukaryota; Fungi; Ascomycota; Sordariomycetes; Xylariales; Xylariaceae
Source: the annotation of a GenBank genome assembly